GACGAACGCUGGCGGCGUGCCUAAUACAUGCAAGUUGAGCGCUGAAGGUUGGUACUUGUACCAACUGGAUGAGCAGCGAACGGGUGAGUAACGCGUGGGGAAUCUGCCUUUGAGCGGGGGACAACAUUUGGAAACGAAUGCUAAUACCGCAUAAAAACUUUAAACACAAGUUUUAAGUUUGAAAGAUGCAAUUGCAUCACUCAAAGAUGAUCCCGCGUUGUAUUAGCUAGUUGGUGAGGUAAAGGCUCACCAAGGCGAUGAUACAUAGCCGACCUGAGAGGCGGAGCGGCCUCGUUGGGAAGGAGACACGGCCCAAACUCCUACGGGAGGCAGCAGUAGGGAAUCUUCGGCAAUGGACGAAAGUCUGACCGAGCAACGCCGCGUGAGUGAAGAAGGUUGUCGGAUCGUAAAACUCUGUUGGUAGAGAAGAACGUUGGUGAGAGUGGAAAGCUCAUCAAGUGACGGUAACUACCCAGAAAGGGACGGCUAACUACGUG
RNAcentral lists this ribosomal RNA (497 nucleotides) under uncultured bacterium. Its description in RNAcentral is "partial 16S ribosomal RNA". It matches the Rfam family "Bacterial small subunit ribosomal RNA", at positions 28 to 507 of the family's 1533-position model. The record is from RNAcentral.